Cyprinus carpio (common carp) is the source of this 1369-nucleotide long non-coding RNA. The record is from Ensembl. Lineage: Eukaryota; Metazoa; Chordata; Actinopteri; Cypriniformes; Cyprinidae.
CGCGUUGUCUCAAGGACACGCCCGCAAUAUAAAUAUUCAUACAGGCGCCACCCAGUGGAAAAAAAUAUCAAAGGAACUAAAUAUACUGUAACACCGGUAAACGCGAUGGCGGCAACCGGCAUUCAGACACAAACAUACCACGUCAUACACUGCCUAUUACAAAAUGAACAAGAUAUUAAUAUGUUGGAGACUGAUGGUCCUGAAGAUGAGAACUCAUUUGACCCUGUAAAAAUAGCAUCUAAACUCAGGGAACUGGGUGACGAUUAUGAUGAGAAAGUGAUCCAGCCACUGAUGAAGAAUGUACAGAGAGCUGCAGCUGAUCAGGUGAGUCCAAAUGGUCCUUCUUCAGACACUGACCAACUAAUCUGAAGAAUGUUUGUAUCACUUUGUGAACAUUUUAUCAGUGCAACUUUGUUCCUGGUCCACUCGUAAUUACAGGCAAUAACUGUACAGGCUGCUGUUAAGCAGUGCAGUUGAUAUCUGCACGUUUCGUUUUCUUCUCUGAACCUAGUAAAAGUGAAACUUCUUGAGCAGCCUCAAAAAGUAUGCAGUAUUUCCUCUUUGGGACUGAUAGCUAAGCCUUUUUGCUUUAAUUGCAUGGCAACCACAUGAUUUAACCACAUUUGACAGUUGACAUCUGUAGUCUCUGACAUGUGUCUGUCCUCUAGGUGGUGACUGUGUUCAGUGAUAGCGUGGACAGUCUGUGUAAGAUGUGGGCUGUGGAAAGAGCAGAAGUGGCCUCAGAGAAGCAGCUCCUCAAGGCUGCCAUCACACUGGGACUCUUUAUGAAGAAAAAAUGCCCUGCCAUGACGAAUGUAGUUGAGGUCGCUAUGAUGGGAUUCGUCAACAAUCGUCUAACAAACUGGAUUUCAGAGCAAGGGGGCUGGGUAAGGAUAGUUCAUCAGAUUUGCUUUAAUCGCUUCUUUUAUGUAGUCCAAGACCAAGAGGCUUAGGUACAUCUUCAGAAGGAUUCGUCUGCUCACAUAGAGGUCACUUUCAAACCAAGCAGCUUUUCUAUUGGUCAGCGUGGCGAAUUCAUAUGACCAACUUGAACAUGAGUGAAAUCUGCACAGGGAACUUUUCGCCCUCAAGCGAAACUCCCAUCCGCACUGAUUACUAUUGAAAUGAAUGGAAUUUCACAGAGCAACGGUAAAUGUGACCCCAUAUUAAAAGUCUGUGAAUUUUAGUCUCGUUUUAGUCAAUUAAAUCUUAGUCACAUUUUAGUCAUGCAGUAUAAAGGUUGAUAAUUAAUUAAUUUGCUCAAAAUUAUAAUCAUGAUUACUUGACGUGAUUGUUGUCCUUUGAGAAACUGCAUCAUAAUUAAUGCACUUUCACAUAUAACCAUACACAUAGUUACUUUACCUUAUCU